CUCGUAGGCGGUCUGUUACGUCGGCUGUGAAAACCUGGGGCUCAACCCCGGGCCUGCAACCGAUACGGGCAGACUAGAAUUCGGUAGGGGAGACUGGAAUUCCUGGUGUAGCGGUGGAAUGCGCAGAUAUCAGGAGGAACACCGGUGGCGAAGGCGGGUCUCUGGGCCGACAUUGACGCUGAGGAGCGAAAGCGUGGGGAGCGAACA
RNAcentral lists this ribosomal RNA (207 nucleotides) under uncultured bacterium. RNAcentral describes it as "partial 16S ribosomal RNA". It matches the Rfam family "Bacterial small subunit ribosomal RNA", at positions 568 to 774 of the family's 1533-position model. The record is from RNAcentral.